This 253-nucleotide ribosomal RNA is filed under the name uncultured bacterium. Its description in RNAcentral is "partial 16S ribosomal RNA". It matches the Rfam family "Bacterial small subunit ribosomal RNA", at positions 524 to 776 of the family's 1533-position model. The record is from RNAcentral.
UACGUAGGCAGCGAGCGUUGUUCGGAAUUACUGGGCGUAAAGAGUGUGUAGGCGGUGCUCCCAGUCUGUUGUGAAAUCUCCCGGCUUAACUGGGAGGGUGCAGCGAAAACUAGAGUGCUAGAGGGUGGGAGAGGUAAGCGGAAUUCCUGGUGUAGCGGUGAAAUGCGUAGAUAUCAGGAGGAACACCUGUGGUGUAGACAGCUUACUGGACCACUUCUGACGCUGAGACACGAAAGCGUGGGUAGCAAACAGG